Molecule: ribosomal RNA, 491 nt
Filed under: Thorius macdougalli (MacDougall's pigmy salamander)
Lineage: Eukaryota; Metazoa; Chordata; Amphibia; Caudata; Plethodontidae
Description: partial large subunit ribosomal RNA
Rfam family: Bacterial large subunit ribosomal RNA
Source: RNAcentral
CGCCUUUUGAUUUAUUAACAUAAAAGGUCCUGCCUGCCCAGUGACACCUGUUCAACGGCCGCGGUAUUAUGACCGUGCAAAGGUAGCGUAAUCACUUGUCCUUUAAAUGAAGACCAGUAUGAACGGCAAGACGAGAGCCUAACUGUCUCUCUACAUUAGUCAAUGAAAUUGAUUUUUUCGUGCAGAAGCGAAAAUAUUAUUAUAAGACGAGAAGACCCUGUGGAGCUUCAAGCCUAAACUAGUUAUUUAAUAUAAUGUAGCUAAGGGCUUUAGGUUGGGGCGACCACGAGGCAUAAUAAAACCCUCAAGAAAAAACCGUAGAAGGACACUUCAAAUAACAAAAUAUUGAUAUGUUGACCCAAAAAUUGAUCAACGAACCAAGUUACCCCAGGGAUAACAGCGCAAUCCACUCAAAGAGUCCUUAUCGACGAGCGGGUUUACGACCUCGAUGUUGGAUCAGGACCCCCCAAUAAUGUAACAAUUAUUAAAGG